Molecule: unclassified non-coding RNA, 341 nt
Filed under: soil metagenome
Description: partial contains 5.8S ribosomal RNA, internal transcribed spacer 2, and large subunit ribosomal RNA
Rfam family: 5.8S ribosomal RNA (bases 5-119)
Source: RNAcentral
GAUGAGAACGUAGCAAAAUGCGAUAAGUAAUGUGAAUUGCAGAAUUCAGUGAAUCAUCGAAUCUUUGAACGCACAUUGCGCCCGCCAGUAUUCUGGCGGGCAUGCCUGUUCGAGCGUCAUUUCAACCCUCAAGCCCCCGGGUUUGGUGUUGGGGAUCGGGCUGUACUCCAGCCCGGCCCCGAAAUCUAGUGGCGGUCUCGCUGCAGCCUCCAUUGCGUAGUAGCUAACACCUCGCAACUGGAACGCGGCGCGGCCAAGCCGUUAAACCCCCAACUUCUGAAUGUUGACCUCGGAUCAGGUAGGAAUACCCGCUGAACUUAAGCAUAUCAAUAAGCGGAGGA